CUUAGAUCCACUGUCAAAUAAUGCUUUACAGUCAACUUAUGGAAACACCUAUAAUAGUCAGCAACCUCAGGUCAACACUUACUGUGAAAUUUAAGGGAAGAGAAUGGGGGGAGGGAUUUUAAAAAUUAAAAUCAAAUCAGUGUGUUGGGGGAGUAUAUUUUAUCUUUGACAAUUUCAUGAGCAAUGGUUUUCUAUUUAUAUUUUUUUCAACAGAACUAGCCAAGGGAAAAAAACAGGAAAAGAAAGAAAAACACAUGGAACCAGGUAAGUGUUUUUAAAUUCCUCCAUCCUCUUAAUUUUGAGAUAUUAAUUUGCAAUUGAAUACUGAAAUGCCAUCAAAUAGCAUGGAAUGUUAAUUUUGUUUUUCUUUUCUUAUUUGAUUCAGCAAAGUCACCAAAGAAGGAACAGUCAGCUCCAACUGAAAAACACAUUAAAGCAAAGACUGAACAAACCAAAGAAGAGGUUGGUUCUGCCUCAUCGAAAAAAGCUGUACCUGGAAAGAAGGAAGAGAAAACAACCAAGACAGUGGAGCAAGAAAUUAGAAAAGAAAAAUCUGGGAAGACUUCUUCAGUUCUGAAGGAUAAAGGCAAAGAAGUCAAGCCCAAGUCUCCACAGCCACAAGUGAAAAAACAAGAGAAGCCAGAGUCACAAGUUAAAAAGGAAGCAAAACCAGCUUCAUCUGAAAAAGCUCAAAUACACAAACAAGACACAGUGAAACCAGAAAAGGCUGUUUCUCAUGGUAAACCAGAUGAAAAAGUUGUCAAGCAUGUAAAAGCUACCACGAUAGAAAAAACAAAAAAAGCUGAACAUCAAGGAAAAGAAUCUCCAUCUAUAAAAACAGGUGAUUUUGCCUUUUUGGUUUGCAUUCUGUCUCAAUUCACUGUUUCUUUACCUUUGAAAAUAAAACCAA
Molecule: long non-coding RNA, 910 nt
Filed under: Capra hircus (goat)
Lineage: Eukaryota; Metazoa; Chordata; Mammalia; Artiodactyla; Bovidae
Description: lncRNA (ENSCHIG00000002497.1)
Source: RNAcentral